UGGCACUAGAGGGAGAGGCCAGAGUGGCCGCGGCGGAGGAGCGGUAGUGUUGAGUUGGUGUGCUUCCAAGGCGAAGGGACGGGAAGUACUACAGUUAAUUGAACCUGGUAUCAAUCCAAUACGGCUAGCAGCAGAGCGGCUGAAGAAGGCAAGGCACGGCUAGCAGCAGAGCAGCUGAAAAAGAUUUCCAGCAUCCGGAGUAUUUUGCUUUUAUUUUACUGCUUAUUCUGAAGUCUGUCCCUGGCUGAUUCAGUAGUAUGCAUUGUAAAGUAGCAGUCUCCUAAUGAAUAAAGUGUUU
This is a long non-coding RNA of Carcharodon carcharias (great white shark), 298 nucleotides long. RefSeq lists it as uncharacterized. The record is from RefSeq and is a predicted model, not a curated record. NCBI's taxonomy places the organism in Eukaryota, Metazoa, Chordata, Chondrichthyes, Lamniformes, Lamnidae. The transcript is spliced from 3 exons.